GAUGAACGCUGGCGGCGUGCUUAACACAUGCAAGUCGAACGGAAAGGCUCCUGCUUGCAGGGGUACUCGAGUGGCGAACGGGUGAGUAACACGUGGGUGAUCUGCCCUGCACUUCGGGAUAAGCCUGGGAAACUGGGUCUAAUACCGGAUAGGACGAUGGUUUGGAUGCCAUUGUUGACAGUUUUUUCGGUGUGGGAUGAGCUCGCGGCCUAUCAGCUUGUUGGUGGGGUAAUGGCCUACCAAGGCGUCGACGGGUAGCCGGCCUGAGAGGGUGUACGGCCACAUUGGGACUGAGAUACGGCCCAGACUCCUACGGGAGGCAGCAGUGGGGAAUAUUGCACAAUGGGCGCAAGCCUGAUGCAGCGACGCCGCGUGGGGGAUGACGGCCUUCGGGUUGUAAACUCCUUUCGCUAGGGACGAAGCGCAAGUGACGGUACCUGGAGAAGAAGCACCGGCUAACUACGUG
This 466-nucleotide ribosomal RNA is filed under the name uncultured bacterium. Its description in RNAcentral is "partial 16S ribosomal RNA". It matches the Rfam family "Bacterial small subunit ribosomal RNA", at positions 28 to 507 of the family's 1533-position model. The record is from RNAcentral.